UUAACUAUUGUAUAGUACUCAGACGACACUGUACACAGGGUUUGGGUCCUCUGGCGGGCGCGUACCAGCGCGAAGCCGGUAGCCUGACAGGCGGCCCGCCAAAGCAACAGAGUGUGUAUUCAAGGGUGGAGAUCUACCCGUGAGGGCAUGAACUCUGUAAUGAUCCUUCCGCAGGUUCACCUACGGAAA
Molecule: unclassified non-coding RNA, 189 nt
Filed under: uncultured fungus
Lineage: Eukaryota; Fungi
Description: sequence contains ITS1
Source: RNAcentral